GCCUGUAGCCAUGGUACCCUGAACAAGUGCAAUCUCAUCUGAUUUUGGAAGCUAAGCAGGGUUGGGCCUGGUUAGUACUUGGAUGGGAGACCACCUAGGAAGAUCAGGUGCUGCAGGAG
Molecule: ribosomal RNA, 119 nt
Filed under: Pteropus alecto (black flying fox)
Lineage: Eukaryota; Metazoa; Chordata; Mammalia; Chiroptera; Pteropodidae
Source: RNAcentral